GCUCAGGAUGAACGCUGGCGGCGUGCUUAACACAUGCAAGUCGAACGGACGAUGAAGAGCUUGCUUUUCAGAGUUAGUGGCGGACGGGUGAGUAACGCGUGGGUAACCUGCCUCAUACAGGGGGAUAGCAGCUGGAAACGGCUGAUAAAACCGCAUAAGCGCACAGCAUCGCAUGAUGCAGUGUGAAAAACUCCGGUGGUAUGAGAUGGACCCGCGUCUGAUUAGCUUGUUGGUGAGGUAACGGCCCACCAAGGCGACGAUCAGUAGCCGGCCUGAGAGGGUGACCGGCCACAUUGGGACUGAGACACGGCCCAAACUCCUACGGGAGGCAGCAGUGGGGAAUAUUGCACAAUGGGGGAAACCCUGAUGCAGCGACGCCGCGUGAAGGAAGAAGUAUCUCGGUAUGUAAACUUCUAUCAGCAGGGAAGAUAAUGACGGUACCUGACUAAGAAGCCCCGGCUAACUACGUGCCAGCAGCCGCGGUAAUACGUAGGGGGCAAGCGUUAUCCGGAUUUACUGGGUGUAAAGGGAGCGUAGGCGGCGGAGCAAGUCAGAAGUGAAAGCCGGGGCUCAACCCCGGGACGGCUUUUGAAACUGCCCUGCUUGAUUUCAGGAGAGGUAAGCGGAAUUCCUAGUGUAGCGGUGAAAUGCGUAGAUAUUAGGAGGAACACCAGUGGCGAAGGCGGCUUACUGGACUGACAAUGACGCUGAGGCUCGAAAGCGUGGGGAGCAAACAGGAUUAGAUACCCUGGUAGUCCACGCCGUAAACGAUGAAUCCUAGGUGUCGGGGCUCAUAAAGCUUCGGUGCCGCAGCAAACGCUAUAAGUAUUCCACCUGGGGAGUACGUUCGCAAGAAUGAAACUCAAAGGAAGUGACGGGGACCCGCACAAGCGGUGGAGCAUGUGGUGUAAUUCGAAGCAACGCGAAGAUCCUUACCAGGCCUUGACAUCCCGGUGACCGUCCCGUAAUGGGGACCUAUGUUCGGAGCACCGGUGACAGGUGGUGCAUGGUUGUUGUCAGCUCGUGUCGUGAGAUGUUGGGUUAAGUCCCGCAACGAGCGCAACCCCUAUGUUCAGUAGCCAGCAGGUAAAGCUGGGCACUCUGGACAGACUGCCGGGGAUAACCCGGAGGAAGGCGGGGAUGACGUCAAAUCAUCAUGCCCCUUACGGCCUGGGCUACACACGUGCUACAAUGGCGUAAACAAAGGGAAGCGAGAGGGUGACCUGGAGCGAAUCCCAAAAAUAACGUCCCAGUUCGGACUGUAGUCUGCAACCCGACUACACGAAGCUGGAAUCGCUAGUAAUCGCGAAUCAGCAUGUCGCGGUGAAUACGUUCCCGGGUCUUGUACACACCGCCCGUCACACCAUGGGAGUUGGAAAUGCCCGAAGUCAGUGACCUAACCGCAAGGGAGGAGCUGCCGAAGGUGGAGCCGAUGACUGGGAAGAAGUCGUAACAAGG
RNAcentral lists this ribosomal RNA (1458 nucleotides) under uncultured bacterium. RNAcentral's name for it is "bacterial SSU rRNA". It matches the Rfam family "Bacterial small subunit ribosomal RNA". The record is from RNAcentral.